UACGAAGGGGACUAGCGUUGUUCGGAUUUACUGGGCGUAAAGCGCGCGUAGGCGGAUCGCUAAGUCAGGGGUGAAAUCCCAGGGCUCAACCCUGGAACUGCCUUUGAUACUGACGAUCUGGAGAUCGGGAGAGGUUGGUGGAAUUCCGAGUGUAGAGGUGAAAUUCGUAGAUAUUCGGAGGAACACCAGAAGCGAAGGCGGCCAACUGGCCCGAUACUGACGCUGAGACGCGAAAGCGUGGGGAGCAAACAGG
This 253-nucleotide ribosomal RNA is filed under the name uncultured bacterium. Its description in RNAcentral is "partial 16S ribosomal RNA". It matches the Rfam family "Bacterial small subunit ribosomal RNA", at positions 524 to 776 of the family's 1533-position model. The record is from RNAcentral.